This 492-nucleotide ribosomal RNA is filed under the name uncultured bacterium. RNAcentral describes it as "bacterial SSU rRNA". It matches the Rfam family "Bacterial small subunit ribosomal RNA", at positions 28 to 507 of the family's 1533-position model. The record is from RNAcentral.
GAUGAACGCUAGCGGCAGGCUUAACACAUGCAAGUCGAGGGGCAGCAUGAGACGGAGAUUCGUCGAAGUCUUGAUGGCGACCGGCGCAAGGGUGCGUAACGCGUGAGCAACUUGCCCGUUUCAGGGGGAUAACCGUUGGAAACGACGACUAAUACCCCAUGGCAUCAUAAGGAGGCAUCUCCAUAUGAUUAAAGAAUUUCGGAAACGGAUAGGCUCGCGUGACAUUAGAUAGAUGGCGGGGUAACGGCCCACCAUGUCGACGAUGUCUAGGGGUUCUGAGAGGAAGGUCCCCCANACUGGAACUGAGACACGGUCCAGACUCCUACGGGAGGCAGCAGUGAGGAAUAUUGGUCAAUGGUCGAAGGACUGAACCAGCCAUGCCGCGUGAAGGUGACGGCCCUAUGGGUCUUAAACUUCUUUUGCAAGGGAGCAAUAAGCCUCACGUGUGGGGCGAUGAGAGUACCUUGCGAAUAAGCAUCGGCUAACUCCGUG